GAUGCAUCCGGAUGAAGUCUUCAUCGGCCCUGAACGUAUUGGAACAGGUCGGUGGGACUUUCGUCCGUUUGCAGA
RNAcentral lists this microRNA precursor (75 nucleotides) under Ooceraea biroi (clonal raider ant). Its description in RNAcentral is "mir-278 microRNA precursor family". It matches the Rfam family "mir-278 microRNA precursor family". Lineage: Eukaryota; Metazoa; Arthropoda; Insecta; Hymenoptera; Formicidae. The record is from Rfam by way of RNAcentral.